Molecule: unclassified non-coding RNA, 238 nt
Filed under: uncultured fungus
Lineage: Eukaryota; Fungi
Description: sequence contains ITS2
Source: RNAcentral
AACGCAUAUUGCGCCCUCCGGCACUCCGGGGGGCACACCCGUCCGAGCGCCAUUUCGACCCUCAAGCCCGGCUUGGUGUUGGCGCGGGUCCGCGGGGACCCCCGCCGAAAUUCGUAGGCGCCGUCGCCCGGCCCCCAGCGCAGCAGGCUCACGCACGCGAUGGGGGCGGGCCCGGCGGCCGCCCGCUAUUCCACAGAGUAUUGGCCUCGGAUCGGGUGGGGAUACCCGCUGAACUUAA